AUUGGACGCUGGCGGCAUGCCUUACACAUGCAAGUCGAACGGCAGCGGGGGAGAAGCUUGCUUUUCCUGCCGGCGAGUGGCGAACGGGUGAGUAAUACAUCGGAACGUGCCCUGUAGUGGGGGAUAACUAGUCGAAAGAUUAGCUAAUACCGCAUACGACCUGAGGGUGAAAGUGGGGGACCGCAAGGCCUCAUGCUAUAGGAGCGGCCGAUGUCUGAUUAGCUAGUUGGUGGGGUAAAGGCCUACCAAGGCGACGAUCAGUAGCUGGUCUGAGAGGACGAUCAGCCACACUGGGACUGAGACACGGCCCAGACUCCUACGGGAGGCAGCAGUGGGGAAUUUUGGACAAUGGGCGAAAGUCUGAUCCAGCAAUGCCGCGUGUGUGAAGAAGGCCUUCGGGUUGUAAAGCACUUUUGUCCGGAAAGAAAUGGCUCUGGUUAAUACCUAGGGUCGAUGACGGUACCGGAAGAAUAAGGACCGGCUAACUACGUGCCAGCCGCCGCGGUAA
RNAcentral lists this ribosomal RNA (508 nucleotides) under uncultured bacterium. RNAcentral's name for it is "partial 16S ribosomal RNA". It matches the Rfam family "Bacterial small subunit ribosomal RNA", at positions 30 to 523 of the family's 1533-position model. The record is from RNAcentral.